AAUGAACGCUGGCGGCAUGCCUAACACAUGCAAGUCGAACGAAGGCUUCGGCCUUAGUGGCGCACGGGUGCGUAACGCGCGGGAAUCCGCCCUUGGGUUCGGAAUAACAGUUAGACAUGACUGCUAACACCGGAUGAUGUCGUCAGACCAAAGAUUUAUCGCCCAAGGAUGAGCCCGCGUAGGAUUAGCUAGUUGGUGGGGUAAAGGCCUACCAAGGCGACGAUCCUUAGCUGGUCUGAGAGGAUGAUCAGCCACACUGGGACUGAGACACGGCCCAGACUCCUACGGGAGGCAGCAGUGGGGAAUAUUGGACGAUGGGCGAAAGCCUGAGCCAGCAGUGCGGCGUGAGUGAUGAAGGCCUUAGGGUUAUAAAGCUCGGUUACCCGGGGUGAUAAUGACGGUAGCGAGAGAAUAAGCGCCGGCUAACUUCAUG
This 433-nucleotide ribosomal RNA is filed under the name uncultured bacterium. RNAcentral describes it as "partial 16S ribosomal RNA". It matches the Rfam family "Bacterial small subunit ribosomal RNA", at positions 29 to 507 of the family's 1533-position model. The record is from RNAcentral.